UUGUUUUGGCAAAUUGUUUAUUCCUCUCAAAAAUAGUAGGUAUAGCACUGAAUAUCUCGAGGGAGUAUGAAAAUAUUUAUCUCAGAUAUUUAAUCUCAAAAUAACUAUUUCUUAAAAUAAAUAAUCAGACUAUGUGCGAUAAGGUAGAUAGUCGAAAGGGAAACAGCCCAGAACAGUAAUUAAAGCUCCCCAAUUAAUAUUAAGUGAA
This 208-nucleotide ribosomal RNA is filed under the name Pneumocystis jirovecii. RNAcentral's name for it is "partial large subunit ribosomal RNA". It matches the Rfam family "Bacterial large subunit ribosomal RNA", at positions 866 to 1067 of the family's 2925-position model. The record is from RNAcentral. Lineage: Eukaryota; Fungi; Ascomycota; Pneumocystomycetes; Pneumocystales; Pneumocystaceae.